Molecule: ribosomal RNA, 1341 nt
Filed under: uncultured bacterium GR-296.II.4A
Lineage: Bacteria; Pseudomonadati; Verrucomicrobiota
Description: partial 16S ribosomal RNA
Rfam family: Bacterial small subunit ribosomal RNA
Source: RNAcentral
GAGGCUGGCGGCGUGCCUUAGGCAUGCAAGUCGAACGGGUGUAGCAAUACACCAGUGGCGGAAGGGUGAGUAACACGUAGGAACGUACCCAUAGGUGGAGAAUAGCUUACCGAAAGGUGAGGUAAUACUCCGUAUCCCGCAAGGGAAUAGGGCUUAACCGCCCGCCAAUGGAGCGGCCUGCGGCCUAUCAGUUUGUUGGUGAGGUAAUGGCUUACCAAGACUAUGACGGGUAGCUGGGCUGAGAGGUCGGCCAGCCACAAUGGAACUUGAGACACGGUCCAUACAUCUACGGAUGGCAGCAACCGGGAAUCUUUGACAAUGGGGGAAACCCUGAUCGAGCGACGCCGCGUGGAGGAUGAAUGCCUUCGGGUUGUAAACUCCUUUUGCCAGGCUAUUCAAGGCUUGGCCGAAUAAGCACCUGCCAACUACGUGCCAGCAGCCGCGGUGAUACUUAGGGUGCAAGCGUUAUCCGGAUUCACUUGGGGCCGUAAAGGGUUGCGUAGCGGCUAACUAAAGGUCAAUAACUGAAAUUUCAUGCUUAACGUGGAACCCGGUUUUGAUACUGCUAGACUUUGAGUCUCGAGAGGUACUGACUUGCAGUGGAGCGUAAAUGCUUAGAUUGCAAGACCCAAAGGCUAGCAGGUACUGGCCAAAUUACCUUAGGCCGAAAGCCAGGGACGAAUGGAUUUAAGCCCCAGUAGUCUGCCGUAACGAUGACCUAGAUGUCGAGUUUUACUUGAUGUGCAAGCUACGCGUAAGUGUUCCGCUGGGAGUCGCCGCAAGGCUAAAACUCAAAGGAAUUGACGGGGACCCGCACAAGCGGUGGAGCAUGUGGUUUAAUUCGAAACAAAGCGAAAAACCUUACCAAGGCUUGAAAUGCUAGCUUCAAGCUGGAUGGAAACAUCCGGCCUUCUUCGAGAGUGCUAGUACAGGUGCUGCAUGGCUGUCGUCAAGCUUGUACCGUGAGGCGCACCCUUAAGUGGGUCAACAAGCGCAACCCCCAUCCUGUGUUAAAUAUUCACAGGAAACUGCCAGUUAAAAACUUGGAGGAAGGCGGGGAUGACGUCAAGUCAGCACGGCCCUUAUGCCUUGGGCUACACACAUCCUACAAUGGAUGUUACAGCGAGUUGCAAUACGGUAACGUAAAGCUAAUCUCACAAAAGCAUCCUCAGUUCAGAUUGAGGGCUGCAAUUCGCCCUCAUGAAGCCGAAAUCGCUAGUAAUCGCGGAUCAGCAGGUCGCGGUGAAUACGUUCUCGGGUCUUGUACACACCGCCCGUCAAGCCAACAAAGUUGGGGGUGCCUAAAGUGUCCUUUAUGGGCCCCAAGGCAAAUCCAGCGAG